Molecule: ribosomal RNA, 451 nt
Filed under: uncultured bacterium
Lineage: Bacteria
Description: partial 16S ribosomal RNA
Rfam family: Bacterial small subunit ribosomal RNA
Source: RNAcentral
GAUGAACGCUGGCGGCGUGCCUAACACAUGCAAGUCGAGCGGCAGCGAGGGGUGCUUGCACCCUGUCGGCGAGCGGCGGACGGCUGAGUAACGCGUGGGAACGUGCCCCAAAGUGAGGAAUAACUGCCCGAAAGGGUAGCUAAUACCGCAUAUUAUCUUCGGAUCAAAGGAUUUAUCCGCUUUGGGAGCGGCUCGCGUCGGAUUAGGUAGUUGGUGAGGUAAUGGCUCACCAAGCCGACGAUCCGUAGCUGGUCUGAGAGGAUGACCAGCCAGACUGGAACUGAGACACGGUCCAGACUCCUACGGGAGGCAGCAGUGAGGAAUCUUCCACAAUGGGCGAAAGCCUGAUGGAGCAACGCCGCGUGCAAGACGAAGGCCUUCGGGUUGUAAACUGCUUUUAUAAGUGAGGAAUAUGACGGUAACUUAUGAAUAAGGAUCGGCUAACUACGUG